Long non-coding RNA from Tachysurus fulvidraco (yellow catfish), 295 nucleotides. RefSeq lists it as uncharacterized. The record is from RefSeq and is a predicted model, not a curated record. The transcript has 3 exons. NCBI's taxonomy places the organism in Eukaryota, Metazoa, Chordata, Actinopteri, Siluriformes, Bagridae.
GUAGCCUGCGCUCAGGAUCAAACCAGGGAUCCGGGAGAUCCGGAAACACGAGAGGUGAAAGGUGAAAACUAUAUAUGAUAUUCCAAGUAUUGUGAAGCCUGCUUUGAAUGCAGCUGUAACAUCCAAAAACAUUCACCCUGGUUUCCAAACUACAGCCACACUCUCAAUCAUCUCUCCAUGCUCCAAAAGAGAGCCAAGGAAAAACUGAAGAGGUAGUAUAAGAGCCUCACCAAAACACCAGUGAAGCAAGCAUGGAUGGAAGAAAAGAAGACAUUAAGCAAAAAUGAAAUAAUGA